GGCCGGUGAUGUGAUCAAAAUAUUUGCUACUCUUGAUGGGGUUAGAGCCCCGUCUGAUGAUCACGAACCACCAAGAUCUCUGAGGUC
This is a small nucleolar RNA of Dichanthelium oligosanthes, 87 nucleotides long. It matches the Rfam family "Small nucleolar RNA SNORD24". From Rfam's summary of the family: U24 is a member of the C/D class of snoRNA which contain the C (UGAUGA) and D (CUGA) box motifs. C/D box snoRNAs have been shown to act as methylation guides for a number of RNA targets. U24 is encoded within an intron of the gene for ribosomal protein L7a in mammals, chicken and Fugu. The record is from Rfam. NCBI's taxonomy places the organism in Eukaryota, Viridiplantae, Streptophyta, Magnoliopsida, Poales, Poaceae.